GAUGAACGCUAGCUACAGGCUUAACACAUGCAAGGUCGAGGGGAAACGACAUCGAAAGCUUGCUUUUGGUGGGCGUCGACCGGCGCACGGGUGAGUAACGCGUAUCCAACCUGCCCACCACUUGGGGAUAACCUUGCGAAAGUAAGACUAAUACCCAAUGAUAUCCCACGAAGGCAUCCGAAUGGGAUUAAAGAUUUAUCGGUGAUGGAUGGGGAUGCGUCUGAUUAGCUUGUUGGCGGGGUAACGGCCCACCAAGGCAACGAUCAGUAGGGGUUCUGAGAGGAAGGUCCCCCACAUUGGAACUGAGACACGGUCCAAACUCCUACGGGAGGCAGCAGUGAGGAAUAUUGGUCAAUGGGCGAGAGCCUGAACCAGCCAAGUAGCGUGCAGGAUGACGGCCCUAUGGGUUGUAAACUGCUUUUAUAAGGGAAUAAAGUGGGUCUCGUGAGACUUUUUGCAUGUACCUUAUGAAUAAGGACCGGCUAAUUCCGUG
Molecule: ribosomal RNA, 493 nt
Filed under: uncultured bacterium
Lineage: Bacteria
Description: bacterial SSU rRNA
Rfam family: Bacterial small subunit ribosomal RNA
Source: RNAcentral